This is a long non-coding RNA of Sorghum bicolor (sorghum), 135 nucleotides long. RefSeq lists it as uncharacterized. The transcript is spliced from 3 exons. NCBI's taxonomy places the organism in Eukaryota, Viridiplantae, Streptophyta, Magnoliopsida, Poales, Poaceae. The record is from RefSeq and is a predicted model, not a curated record.
CUUAGAAAUAUUUUUACUACUGUAUCUGAAUGGCUCUUUGGUUGAAAACACCCUUUGCAUGGUACAAUCAGCUUGGUGAUUCCAUCUUAUGGUAGAAUCAGCUCAGCAUGUACAAGUAUUGAUGUUGAAUAAAAU